Molecule: ribosomal RNA, 377 nt
Filed under: uncultured eukaryote
Lineage: Eukaryota
Description: partial Eukaryotic large subunit ribosomal RNA
Rfam family: Eukaryotic large subunit ribosomal RNA
Source: RNAcentral
GUCGUGAGACAGGUUAGUUUUACCCUACUGAUGAAGCGUUGUCGCAAUAGUAAUCCAAGUCAGUACGAGAGGAACCCUUGGUUCGCAUACUUGGUAACUACGGUUCGCCGGAAGGCGAGUGCCGUGAAGCUACCAUGCGUUGGCUUACAUUUGAACGCCUCUAAAAUGGAAUCCAAACUAGAACGCGACAAUAUUUGUUUCUCCGGUACAGAGACGCAUAAGACUAGCGCCACCCGUGUGGCGUCUGCAUCAUAAGAGUCGCAGCCGCGGCGCGCCCGAAAGGCGUGUCGCGCGCAGGACGAUCCCAAUUCCAGAUAUUGGAGAAGUAGAUCACUUAUAUACGAUUUGAUUCGGGAACGGAGUGCUGUAAGUCGCAG